This 450-nucleotide ribosomal RNA is filed under the name uncultured bacterium. Its description in RNAcentral is "partial 16S ribosomal RNA". It matches the Rfam family "Bacterial small subunit ribosomal RNA", at positions 354 to 796 of the family's 1533-position model. The record is from RNAcentral.
GUGGGGAAUUUUGGACAAUGGGCGAAAGCCUGAUCCAGCCAUGCCGCGUGCAGGAUGAAGGCCUUCGGGUUGUAAACUGCUUUUGUACGGAACGAAAAGACUCUGGUUAAUACCUGGGGUCCAUGACGGUACCGUAAGAAUAAGCACCGGCUAACUACGUGCCAGCAGCCGCGGUAAUACGUAGGGUGCAAGCGUUAAUCGGAAUUACUGGGCGUAAAGCGUGCGCAGGCGGUUAUAUAAGACAGAUGUGAAAUCCCCGGGCUCAACCUGGGAACUGCAUUUGUGACUGUAUAGCUAGAGUACGGCAGAGGGGGAUGGAAUUCCGCGUGUAGCAGUGAAAUGCGUAGAUAUGCGGAGGAACACCGAUGGCGAAGGCAGUCCCCUGGGCCUGUACUGACGCUCAUGCACGAAAGCGUGGGGAGCAAACAGGAUUAGAAACCCUUGUAGUCC